This 269-nucleotide small RNA is filed under the name Mus pahari (shrew mouse). RNAcentral describes it as "sRNA (MGP_PahariEiJ_G0008303.1)". The stretch from base 1 to 193 matches the Rfam family "7SK RNA". Rfam says of the family: 7SK was discovered as an abundant small nuclear RNA in the mid-70s but a possible function has only recently been suggested. Two independent studies have found that 7SK RNA binds the CDK9/cyclin T complex (known as elongation factor P-TEFb). P-TEFb activates transcription by phosphorylating the C-terminal domain of RNA polymerase II. The record is from RNAcentral. Lineage: Eukaryota; Metazoa; Chordata; Mammalia; Rodentia; Muridae.
GGACGGGAGUGCGAUCUGGCUGCGGCAUGUCACACCACUGACCACCAGGGUUGAUCUGGCCGACCUGUCUGUCUAAGCAGAUGUCCCCUUCCUCCCUCAUGGCUCCAUGUGUGUCCCUCCUGAAGCUGCAGCCCAACUCAUGAGGACUUUCCUCAUAAAAGAGGAGCAGCGUUUGGUCAAGGGUACGCUAGCACUCUGUGUCUUCCUGUUCAGACCCCAGACAAGCCCUCAGGUGUACAACAUGUCAAAGGCCACCCACUGCUUACUCU